Molecule: ribosomal RNA, 591 nt
Filed under: uncultured cyanobacterium
Lineage: Bacteria; Bacillati; Cyanobacteriota
Description: bacterial SSU rRNA
Rfam family: Bacterial small subunit ribosomal RNA
Source: RNAcentral
GGAAUUUCGCAAUGGGCGAAACCUGACGGCAGCAAUACCGCGUGAGGGAUGUAAGGCUCUUGGGUUGUAAACCUCUUUUCUCAGGGAAGAAAAAAAUGAGGGUACCUGAGGAAUAAACAUCGGCUAACUCCGUGGCAGCAGCCGCGGUAAUACGGAGGAUGCACGCGUUAUCCGGAAUGAUUGGGCGUAAAGCGUCCGCAGGUGGGUUUUGCAAGUCUGCUGUGAAAGGUCAGGGCUCAACCCUGAAGAGGCUGGUGGAAACUGAAAAGCUAUAGUGCGGUAGGGGUAGAAGGAAUUCCCCGUGUACCGGUGAAAUGCGUACAGUAUUGGGAAAAACACCAGUGGCGAAAGCGCUCUGCUAUAGCGCAACUGACACUCAUGGACAGAAAGCUAGGGGUAGCCGAAUGGCAUUAGUUACCCCAGUUAGUCCUAGCCGUAAACGAUGGAUACUACGCGUUGAGAGUAUCGACCCUCUCAGUGCCGGUAGCUAACGCGUUAAUUUAUCCCGCCUGGGGAGUACGCACGCCCGUGUGGAAACUCAAAGGAAUUGACUGUCCGACCCUUUUCCGUCUUCUGGCCCUCCUCUUCUAC